This 253-nucleotide ribosomal RNA is filed under the name uncultured bacterium. Its description in RNAcentral is "partial 16S ribosomal RNA". It matches the Rfam family "Bacterial small subunit ribosomal RNA", at positions 524 to 776 of the family's 1533-position model. The record is from RNAcentral.
UACGGAGGGGACUAGCGUUGUUCGGAAUUACUGGGCGUAAAGGGCGCGUAGGCGGUCUGUUAAGUUCGGUGUGAAAGCCCCCGGCUCACCUGGGGAACUGCGCCGGAAACCGACAGACUCGAGUACCGGAGAGGAGGGUGGAAUUUCUGGUGUAGCGGUGAAAUGCGUAGAUAUCAGGAGGAACACCGGUGGCGAAGGCGGCCCUCUGGACGGAUACUGACGCUGAGGCGCGAAAGCGUGGGGAUCAAACAGG